UGGGGAAUCUUGCACAAUGGGCGAAAGCCUGAUGCAGCGACGCCGCGUGGGGGAUGAAGGCCUUCGGGUUGUAAACCCCUUUCGGCAGGGAAGAAGCCGCAAGGUGACGGUACCUGCAGAAGAAGCCCCGGCCAACUACGUGCCAGCAGCCGCGGUAAGACGUAGGGGGCGAGCGUUGUCCGGAUUCACUGGGCGUAAAGCGCGCGUAGGCGGCUCGUUAAGUCGGAUGUGAAAACCCGGGGCUCAACCCCGGGCCUGCACCCGAUACUGGCGAGCUGGAGGCAGGUAGGGGAGAUCGGAAUUCCCGGUGUAGCGGUGAAAUGCGCAGAUAUCGGGAGGAACACCGGUGGCGAAGGCGGAUCUCUGGGCCUGUCCUGACGCUCAGGCGCGAAAGCUAGGGGAGCAAACAG
This 410-nucleotide ribosomal RNA is filed under the name uncultured bacterium. RNAcentral's name for it is "bacterial SSU rRNA". It matches the Rfam family "Bacterial small subunit ribosomal RNA", at positions 355 to 775 of the family's 1533-position model. The record is from RNAcentral.